RNAcentral lists this long non-coding RNA (1032 nucleotides) under Homo sapiens (human). Its description in RNAcentral is "HSALNT0301379". The record is from RNAcentral. Lineage: Eukaryota; Metazoa; Chordata; Mammalia; Primates; Hominidae.
AAACCACCCAGAGAAUGUGAUUGAGUGAUCCCAAGCUCUAAGAACAUUUAGGUACUUCUAGUAGUGACAUUCCUAUUAAGACAGAGCCCAGCUUGGCUGGGAGAUCCAAUGUCCCCAUGCCCAGGUGACAGGCAUUGCUCCUUUGUCAGAAAGGUUCCUGGCUGGAGGUUCAUAAGUGUACCAUGUGCUGGGAAUUUUUACUGACAUGAUCACAAUUAAUCCCUCAGAAAAUCCUGUGAAGUAAGUAGUUUCCCUUUUAUAGAUGUGGGAAUGAAUCAAGACUCAGAGGCUUUGACUUGUCUUUAGGCACCAGGUCAGUCCAAUUCUAAAGCCCUGGCUGGAAUACCCAGGCAGUGUGAUUUAGAGAUGCUGGGCUAGUUAGGUGGACUAGCUCUGGGACUCUGUUGUGAGAAAAAGUGAGUGGCGAUGGGGUGGGGCAGCGGAUGUAACUUGAUGGCAAGGAUUGUCAACUUACAGCAGGAAAAUUUUGGGUGAGGAGGAGCAGAAUAUGGGUGGUUCUGGCAGCGAGACAGUCUUCAGGAAUGAGAAGGAGAGGUCAUCCCCAGCUACCUCCAGGAGAAAGACAAACUGCGGCCUGGACCAGCUGGUGAAACAUAAUUCUGAAUCCUGCCCACAGCCUUCGGUGGUUUUGGAUGAAAGGCCAGCGCCUUGGGAGCCCUGCGUUUGAUUUCAAGUUUUAAGGCCGGCACUGGUGGAGCAAUGAAUGGUGAAAGCUCUCCCCUUAAAGGAGCACAGUUGCCUUUAGGUGACUGCUAACUCAGGCUUUUGCUGAGGACAGUGUUUACUUUGUGAGCUUAAUGACAGGGCUGGCUUUCUGGGAGUGUUGCAAUGAAACAGACUCAGACACAGGCCAUCAUGGGCCUCCUCCCUAGCAAGGCCGCCACGGCUGGCAUCUCAAGAGCAGUCCGUUGAACUUGGGAUUUGGGUGUGAGACACAGUUUCAUCAGAAGAAUUUAAACCAAAGUCUACAUUUGCCCUCUAGAUAAAUGUGUGUGUUCAGCAGCAACCACA